GCCUUGGUGGUGAAAUGGCAGACACGCGAGACUCAAAAUCUUGUGCUAAAAAGCGUGGAGGUUCGAAUCCUCUUCAAGGCA
Molecule: transfer RNA, 81 nt
Filed under: Hemitomes congestum
Lineage: Eukaryota; Viridiplantae; Streptophyta; Magnoliopsida; Ericales; Ericaceae
Description: tRNA-Leu
Rfam family: tRNA
About the family: Transfer RNA (tRNA) molecules are approximately 80 nucleotides in length. Their secondary structure includes four short double-helical elements and three loops (D, anti-codon, and T loops). Further hydrogen bonds mediate the characteristic L-shaped molecular structure. tRNAs have two regions of fundamental functional importance: the anti-codon, which is responsible for specific mRNA codon recognition, and the 3' end, to which the tRNAs corresponding amino acid is attached (by aminoacyl-tRNA synthetases). tRNAs cope with the degeneracy of the genetic code in two manners: having more than one tRNA (with a specific anti-codon) for a particular amino acid; and 'wobble' base-pairing, i.e. permitting non-standard base-pairing at the 3rd anti-codon position.
Source: RNAcentral